UACAGAGGUGGCAAGCGUUGUUCGGAAUUACUGGGCGUAAAGGGCGCGUAGGCGGCCUUCUAAGUCAGACGUGAAAUCCCCCGGCUUAACCUGGGAACUGCGUCUGAUACUGGAGGGCUUGAGUAUGGGAGAGGGAUGUAGAAUUCCAGGUGUAGCGGUGAAAUGCGUAGAUAUCUGGAGGAACACCGGUGGCGAAGGCGGCAUCCUGGACCACGACUGACGCUGAGUGAGCGAAAGCCAGGGGAGCAAACGGG
Molecule: ribosomal RNA, 254 nt
Filed under: uncultured bacterium
Lineage: Bacteria
Description: partial 16S ribosomal RNA
Rfam family: Bacterial small subunit ribosomal RNA
Source: RNAcentral